Molecule: unclassified non-coding RNA, 851 nt
Filed under: Hevea brasiliensis (rubber tree)
Lineage: Eukaryota; Viridiplantae; Streptophyta; Magnoliopsida; Malpighiales; Euphorbiaceae
Source: RNAcentral
AAAAGCAGAUUAAAGCUACACCAGGAAGGGAUCCGGGGAAUGUCUAAUCUGCUUUUGGAAGCAAAUGGGGAAACUGUGCUAAUGAUAGUUUGGUCUCAACAUAUAUUUAGUCUUACCAUCAAUAAAGAAGCUUACCUGAACACAGAGGGCAAUGAUGUCAGCGAAACGUGAAAGAGACUUUGCAGGAUACAUGCCAUUCAAGGCAGGAUCAACCAUUUUUGCCAAAGCAUCAAUAUCGUGCAGUUGAGGAGUAGCCCAUCUCACAAGUGACUGCUCUGAUCUCACCCUUGAACUGUCCAGCGGCUUCCGACCAGUCAGUAGCUCCAACAUCACCACACCAAAGCUGUACACAUCACUCUUUACAGUGUAUACUCCUGACAAGGCAAAUUCAGGAGCACUAUAGCCAAAUGAUCCGACCAUCUGUGUUGACACCUGCCUCUCUGUGUUUGGUGUGAGAGCAGCUAAACCGCAGUCUGACAAGUGGGGAUUGAGCUCUUCAUCAACUAAAAUAUUUGCUGACUUGAAAUUUCGAUGCACAACAGAAGGCAAGCAAACUUCAUGCAGGUACUCUAAAGCCCGCGCCGUCCCAAGUGCUACCCUAACACGUGCAUUCCAAGAUAGAGUCUUGCUACCAUCAUCAGCAAAGUGCAGCAUAUCAUGCAGACUCCCAUUCCCAAUAUAUUCAUAAACCAAAAGGCGCUGGCCAUGCUCUGAACAGUAUCCUACCAGUGAAACAAUGUUUGGGUGCCUCAACCGAGACAUAUUUGAAACAGCUUCAAGAAAGUUAUCUUCCUCCUGCAAUGAAAGUGCUGCAUUGUCGAUCUUCUUAAUAGCCAUUGCCUUUCCAUUAG